AGCUGUGGCCAGCGCCAGGCCAUGCUGAGGCUGAGGCCUGUGGGUCCCCAGAGUGCCCAGGGUGUGGUGUGGGUGAGAGUGUGCUGGUCAGUGGGAUGAGGAGAGUGCAAACAGCUCUGUCUCUGGGGAAGGCCAGGGGAGAAGAAUAGAUCCCAAGUCAUUCUGAACAUUUGGGGUGCCUGCUAUGGGUGAGCAAAAGUCUCCUCAGACUAAACAGCCCUCUUCUUUUCUCUGUGAAAAGGUUCCCCUUGAGAGGAAUUUGUCUCAAAAUCACCCCUCAGGCUUGGGCCAAGGUCAGUCUCUACAGUGGAUCUGGGAGGCAGGGUUCCAUGAACUCAGGAAGUAUCUUCCAAUUUGUUUCUGGAGGGCCAGAGGGACCCCGGAGUUUUUCAGCAUUUUGAAAUAUACAAGAUAUUCAACAAGACUAGGUGGCAGAUGGGACCAGAUAUGUGGCACAGACCUUUCAGCUCUGUGAGCUUUGACAAGUCGCCUAACUUCUGCUCUUCAGUUACCUCAUCAGUUAAACGAGGAGAAUUGUGCCCACCUGAGAGCUUGGAGAUUAAAUAGGAUCACGCAUGCGUGGCACCUGGACGAUGCCCACCCAGUACCCACGGGAGGCCCUCAGGAAGCAGUGGCUGUUACUAUCAUUGUAUCAUCACUCUGUCUCUCAGAAGAGCCUUUUCCUUUCUUUCUUUCUUUCUUUUUUUUUUUUUUGAGAUGGAGUUUUGCUCUUGUUGCCCAGGCUGGAGCACAACGUUGCGAUCUUGGCUCACUGCAACCUCGGCCUCCCAGGUUCAAGCGAUUCUCCUACCUCAGCCUCCUGAGCAAGGAGAGCCUUUUUACUCUUUUUCAGAAAGUCCUCCCUACAGCCACCUCUUUCUGUAGCUCUGACCAAAGAAAGUCUAAGGUGAAGGGACCCCAGUAACCUACACUUUACAGGUGGAGAGGCAAGAGAAGGGACUUGCCCAAGGCCACCUGGGGUGCCUGUGGCAGGGCAUCAACAAGCUCGGGUCACUGCAGCAUUCUUCUCCCCACCCUCUUCCCAUUCAGGAAAGAAGGCCAGUCCUGUCAUUUGUGCUGUUGUCUCAGACACCAAAAGGCUGUUUUCCUUCUGUCCAGCUCAGCAUCGAUGCCUGGAAUCAGGAAGCAGGGUGAUGGAAAGUGUCCUGUCUGACGUCUUCCUGCGGAGGGGGGACGGCAUCCUCACAGGCUGGGCUUCCUGAAAUACAGCUGUGGCAGCAGCUUCAGGAUUUGGCAGAACAUUUAACAUUAUUAUUAUCAUUAUUUUUGAGACAGAGUCUCACUCUGUUGCCCAGGCUGGAGUGCAGUGGCGCAGUCUCGGCUCACUGCAACCUCCGCCUCCCGGGUUCAAGCGAGUCUCCUGCCUCAGGCUCCCAAGUAGCUGGGAUUACAGGUGCGUGUCACCACGCCCGGCUAAUUUUUGUGUUUUUAGUAGAGACUGGGUUUCGCCAUGUUGACCAGGCUGGUCUUGAACCAGCGAUCUACACACCUUGGCCUCCCAAAGUGCAGAGAUUACAGGUGUGAGUAACUUCGCCCAACCAACAAUUGGAUACUUUUCAGUACUAUUUGAAUUAUUAUUAUUUGCC
This 1607-nucleotide long non-coding RNA is filed under the name Homo sapiens (human). RNAcentral's name for it is "HSALNT0381790". Lineage: Eukaryota; Metazoa; Chordata; Mammalia; Primates; Hominidae. The record is from RNAcentral.